RNAcentral lists this long non-coding RNA (1397 nucleotides) under Bemisia tabaci. RNAcentral's name for it is "lncRNA ENSSSA2NGG007200". The record is from RNAcentral. Lineage: Eukaryota; Metazoa; Arthropoda; Insecta; Hemiptera; Aleyrodidae.
UUCUCCACCGAAAAUAAGGUUUAGCCGCAAAAAUUUAGUGCAUUCGAGGCUUUUAGACUUGAAGUUUGUAGGGAAAAAUUCUUCUUCAGUCAAAAUUUACAUGUAGGGCUGAAAAAUAGCUUUUUUCAGGUUUUCCCCAUAAGAGCCGUGUAGAAAGUUACAACCUGAUGUACCAUAACCUCCAAACGAAUCUUUAGGUAUGGUCAUCUAGGGGGUAUUGUUAUGUCCAGAAAAUGUGCUCGUCCUUUUUCGUUGUGUUACAGGUACCCAGUUCCCAGUUCGUUCCCGUAAAAGUUCUCGUUUUUGAAAUUUUAAAAAUCCUAGACUGUAUAGAUUUUUCAGUCAUUUCUUCAAGAGCCUAGUCCUGAAUACUUUCGGAGGGGCGCGUCUCUGAUCAGAGAUUUGCUGUUUCCAGCAGUGUUGGUAGUUAUAGGUCUUUUUACGGUUUUUACUUACACGCCGGUUUCAGCGUCCAGGUGAAAGGUAACUUCUACUGAACGAUAAAGCUCUGAAAGCUCCAGGAACGAGAUGUAUUCAACCCAUGGGUACGAUUCGGAGGAUGAGUACUGUCCUAGAAAUGUUUGUCUUGAUGUGGGUGAACUGUCUGCAGACACAGAUCUCACGAAGACACCAACUUCAGGUCAGGAGUAUCUACAGCAAGUUGUCCCAAAGCAGAGAGGGAAAAGAAGUGGAAAGCCUUAGUUUUAGAGCAGAAAAUUGUCCCGUCUCUGAAGCUUAUGUUAUCUUUUGAUCAAGUUCGAUGUGAGAAUCUUAUCAUUUAUGUCAAUGAAUGGAUAGAACAGAAAUUAAUUGAUAUUUGGGAGGUAGGACCCCUGCUGUACAGUGUCUUUGUGUGUAUGGAAAUGCCACUGGAUUCUAGUAUUGUCUUCAAUCUUCGCACUCUAGCACGGCAUUGCGCCUUCACGCGCGUUCGAGAGGUAACAAUUUGCAUUUACCUGUUUUACUUCCCUCUCGUAAUCAUAAUCGUAAUCGUAUCAAACUGAUUUCUUAAUCAUUGAAGGAUAUUUGCGCGGAUUUUUUAUAAAAAUUUUAUGAAUCACCCUUCCCUUCUUUCUCUUAAUAUAUGUCUGAUGGCUAGUAAUGACCAUCCUAAUCAGUUAGAUUAGAACCCGUGACAAAAGUUGAAAUAUGUAUGAUAACUGAGUGAAGUUUGUCAGUGAAUGCUCAGUUGUCCGUCUAAACCUAUAAGAAAACGAAUCCAUAAAAUUGUUUCUUCUUAAAUCAAACGGAGGUCGAAAAAACCUAAAACUCACUUGAGACAAUAACUUUAAUUUUCGUUGCACAUGCAUUUCAUGUUGGCAGCUUAUGAUUUGUGCAAUUCAAGCCACUUUUGAGUCGUACCAAUGACUGACUGCCAGCCUGAAACACGACUGUUG